Molecule: ribosomal RNA, 293 nt
Filed under: uncultured bacterium
Lineage: Bacteria
Description: partial 16S ribosomal RNA
Rfam family: Archaeal small subunit ribosomal RNA
Source: RNAcentral
GUGCCAGCCGCCGCGGUAAUACCGGCAGCCCGAGUGAUGGCCGAUCUUAUUGGGCCUAAAGCGUCCGUAGCUGGCUGCGCAAGUCCGUCGGGAAAUCCACUCGCCCAACGAGUGGGCGUCCGACGGAAACUGCACAGCUUGGGACCGGAGGACUCGAGGGGUACGUCCGGGGUAGGAGUGAAAUCCCGUAAUCCUGGACGGACCACCGGUGGCGAAAGCGCCUCGAGAGGACGGACCCGACGGUGAGGAACGAAAGCCAGGGUCCCGAACCGGAUUAGAAACCCGGGUAGUCC